This 253-nucleotide ribosomal RNA is filed under the name uncultured bacterium. Its description in RNAcentral is "partial 16S ribosomal RNA". It matches the Rfam family "Bacterial small subunit ribosomal RNA", at positions 524 to 776 of the family's 1533-position model. The record is from RNAcentral.
UACGUAUGGAGCAAGCGUUAUCCGGAUUUACUGGGUGUAAAGGGAGCGUAGGCGGUGCUAUAAGUCUGAUGUGAAAGCCCGGGGCUCAACCGCGGGACUGCAUUGGAAACUGUAGGACUGGAGUGUCGGAGGGGUAAGUGGAAUUCCUAGUGUAGCAGUGAAAUGCGUAGAUAUUAGGAGGAACACCGGUGGCGAAGGCGGCUUACUGGACGACAACUGACGCUGAGGCUCGAAAGCGUGGGGAGCAAACAGG